RNAcentral lists this ribosomal RNA (301 nucleotides) under uncultured bacterium. RNAcentral's name for it is "partial 16S ribosomal RNA". It matches the Rfam family "Bacterial small subunit ribosomal RNA", at positions 509 to 808 of the family's 1533-position model. The record is from RNAcentral.
CAGAGCCGCGGUAAUACGGAGGGUGCAAGCGUUAAUCGGAAUUACUGGGCGUAAAGCGCACGCAGGCGGUCUGUCAAGUCAGAUGUGAAAUCCCCGGGCUUAACCUGGGAACUGCAUUUGAAACUGGCAGGCUAGAGUCUUGUAGAGGGGGGUAGAAUUCCAGGUGUAGCGGUGAAAUGCGUAGAGAUCUGGAGGAAUACCGGUGGCGAAGGCGGCCCCCUGGACAAAGACUGACGCUCAGGUGCGAAAGCGUGGGGAGCAAACAGGAUUAGAUACCCGGGUAGUCUCUGUCUCUUAUACC